GUAGUAGUAGUAGUAGUAGUAGUAGUAGUAGUAGUAGUAGUAGUAGUAGUAGUAGUAGUAGUAGUAAUAGUAGUAGUAGUAGUAGUAGUAGUAGUAGUAGUAGUAGUAGUAGUAGUAGUAGUAGUAGUAGUAGUAGUAGUAGUAGUAGUAGUAGUAGUAGUAGUAGUAGUAGUAGUAGUAGUAGUAGUAGUAGUAGUAUGCUGAGCUCAGAAAAGGUCAUAGGCUGAGUUGAAUUAAGCAUAUCGCUACAAAAAAGCUUCCUGUACCGACAUAUGCCGAGUUGGGCGAGCCAGCUAUAGGCCAUGCUGACUUCAGACCAUGCCGACUUAAAGAAAUUCUGGGCCAUGCUGAAUUUGCUGAGCUUGGCUCCAUAUGUUUCACGAAUGUAGACAGAUCAAUAUUGUUUAUGAUCGAUGACACUUUGCGUAAGAGGAACAAAUUAAUUAAGGCGUAAAACUCAAAUGUAGACAAGUAAAUUCAGACUGAACCAAAUUUUUCUUCAUCAACGUUGUAGUGCGAGAAUGGAAUAAGCUCCCUGCCUUCCUUCAGUGGUCCAGUGUAACACGAUUGAUCCCCUUUAAAAACAAGCUCGGCCGUCACUUCCUUCAACUCAAUAUAUUAACUAGAGUUGAAAUGCAACGUUAUGGAGCCAUCGGAUUAAUGUAGAAUCACUUAGUUUAAGGACAGGCCACUUAGUCUGGACCAUGGGGUCUGAUUUUCUAUGUAAAUCUGUAAAUUAAAACCCAUCCGACAGCUAUGAUGUAAUGUUUAAAUCUCCGCGUACCCAAUCAGCUGUUUUAAUCAGCUGAUCGGUCACCUCAGCACACUACUGAUAUAUCGUUUCCGGAGUCAUCACACUCGUACGGAACAUGUUUAUUGCCUGACUUGACCUGUGAUCUAGCAUACCCAGACACGAGGGAUCGCUGAAAUAAUCUUAUAGACUUACGAAAAAAUAACGUUUUUUUUUUUCAGAAUGGCAACACCGCCCGCUUGCCAUAAUAAUUCUUCCGGCUCGUCAUAUUUUACUCUUUUUCCACCUUUCUCGCCCCCUGCAUGCAUAAUAUUUAAUGCUAUACUUAACGGUAACACCAAUUAAGGGCUGAUAUCGAAUUAAGCCGUGAUGGGAAGAUCGUUCGUAAGAUUUACCCCCUAAAUACGGGAAGAGAGAGAGAGAGAGAGAGAGAGAGAUGCUGACUUUAAAUGCUGACUUCAUAUAUCACUUUUCUUCAUCGAGUCUAGCUGAGCCAUGCUGAAUGCUGAGAGCCACAAGACAUCUAUAACAAUCAAGCCUAGGCUGAGCUCUGAAAAUAGAGGCCAUACAUAUGCUGAUCGAGCUGAAGCAUAUUGCUACAAAAAUCUUCCUAUUUAACAACAUAUGCUGAGUUGGACGAGGCCAUGGAUACUGGCUUCAGACAAUUAAUGCAUGCUGACUUAAAGGAAGGUCACGUACAGCACUCAAAAACGUUUAUGCUGAGCUGAUAUAAAUUGAGCAUAAAAAAUGGCCAUGCUGUAACUUAUAUGUUAAUUAAGCCAUGCUGAUCAAAUCCUUACUAAACUCAGAUUAACAAAGUCAGCAUAUUAUAUUUAUAGCAUAGAAUUGGUAUGAAAAAAUCGGUCAUGCUGAGUACAGCCUGACAUCAUUGAAUCUUUAAUGCUGUCAUGGUGAUAUCUUGACCAUCCUGAGUUCAAAAUAGUCAGCAUUGAUACACAGGCUAUGCUGAGUGAGAAUUAACAUUACUGACUUAAUAAACCCCCAUAUGCUGAGCUCAGAUGGGAAACUAACACAUGCUGACUGAUUCUGGGCCAUGAGGUUGUUGACCAAUCCUUCCCCACUUAUAAAUUACUUGCAAUACUUAUAGGCUACUUUUGUGACUCUGUGUAGGCCUACAUUCCAUAAUACUCAACCUAACCUCAAUCCUCUCUCUCUCUAUACCAACUGGAUUUAGACAUUAAAAUUCUUCCUUAUGAACUGUUCUUAUAAAUUACUUGCAAUACUUAUAGGCUACUUUUGUGAUUCUGUGUAGGCCUAUAUAGUCAUUCCAUAUUCAACCUAAUCUAGAUCCUCUCUCUUUCUAUACCAACUGGAUUUAGCAAUUAAAAUUCUUCCUUUGGGGGUGUAAUUAAUCUCUGUAGGCCUCACUCAAUCUGAUGCCUUGGAACUUGGAUACAUAGUCAGUAUUAAUAUAUCCGAGUGCUGUGUUGGGUAAUUAAUCACUUACUUGAUCCUGAUAAAUACUGUUUGGGGACAUCAUUAAUUCUUCUCGGUCAAUCCUUGUUCAUUGAUAUGCUCAGGAACUUGGAUUAUAAACAAGUCUGAACUUUCAACAGUAAAUACAUAGUAAAUUCUGACAGCACGGGACUUUUCCAAACAGUCAAAUUCCCUCUAUAUAAAUAGUUUGUGGGUGGCUGGGGAGCUAAUUCAUUCUCCUAGGUCAACCCUCCCUCUUUCAAUGUGAUGGUUUAGCCCCUUGAAUUUUUGCCGGUACUAAUUAUAAGCUUUCAAGUGUUAAAUAUAUAGCAAAUUCUGAAUACAAGUCCUUUGCAGAUGGCUAGACUCCCUCACUCAAUCCCUUCCUACACACAGUUCUCCUCACAUAAGAAUAGACUCAUUGUUAUUAAGUCAGUGAUAAGCAUCUAAGCAGAAUAUGACCAAGAUAAGCUAUAGAUAAAAUUAAUAUAGAUAUACGUAGACAGAACCUCACAAGUUAAGCUAUUUCCAGUUUCCAAGGGCUGAGUUAAGCUGGGAGUUAGGUUAGAUCCUCGCAUGAAUUUAAGCUAUUUCCAGUUUCCAAGGGCUGAGUUGAGCUGGGAGUUAGGUUAGAUCCUCGCAUGAAUUUAAGCUAUUUCCAGUUUCCAAGGGCUGAGUUAAGCUGGGAGUUAGGUUAGAUCCUCACAUGAAUUUAAGCUAUUUCCAGUUUCCAAGGGCUGAGUUAAGCUGGGAGUUAGGUUAGAUCCUCACAUGAAUUUAAGCUAUUUCCAGUUUCCAAGGGCUGAGUUAAGCUGGGAGUUAGGUUAGAUCCUCACAUGAAUUUAAGCUAUUUCCAGUUUCCAAGGGCUGAGUUAAGCUGGGAGUUAGGUUAGAUCCUCACAUGAAUUUAAGCUAUUUGCAGUUUCCAAGGGCUGAGUUAAGCUGGGAGUUAGGUUAGAUCCUCACAUGAAUUUAAGCUAUUUGCAGUUUCCAAGGGCUGAGUUAAGCUGGGAGUUAGGUUAGAUCCUCACAUGAAUUUAAGCUAUUUGCAGUUUCCAAGGGCUGAGUGGCUGAGUGGCAGCAUCUGUUCUCCGGCUAUGAAGGAAAAAACACUUACUUUACAAUGUUCACCAAUAAAAUAUAACUUACCCAGACCAAUGGGUGCCAAGUGGCUUAACCCGGUAGCAGCGAGGGGCCAAAUUUGUGGCUUUACCGUGUAGCAGCGACGGGCCAAAUUUGUGCCAUGAUUUAAACCCCCCAAAAUAGAUGAUACAUAAAAUUAUCACAAAUGCUGAUAUAUAUUAUUAUGAAAUGGUUUGUGUGAGUGAUGAUUUUUUCCCAUUUUUCUCACUUAGAGGGACCAUUAAGAAACAUGAUCCCCGCUGCUACCGGGUUAAAACUACCCACAUGCUGUCCAGAAGACCACCUAUCAACCCGGACUCUAGAUUCUAGGAUUAAAGAUGAGCUCCGGGAGGGCAGCAUGAGCCAAUGCAAGAUGGCACCACUAUAAACACUUGCCUGCGCCAGAACGGGCUGGGCCGACCAUCAGGCCCCACUGGGAAGAAGCCUUGGGCCGACCAUCAGGAUCCACCGGGAAGAAGCCUACCGGCGCAAUAGGCCAUGACGUAAAAAAAAUAAAACAUAUUUGACAAGGCUUUCAGUGGAGGUUUGGGCAUUUUCCGAGAUGCUUUUAUGAUCUGUGGAAAUGUGACCCUUCCUCUGUGCCAUCAACCUAAAAAACACAUAUUUGACAAGGCUUUCAGAGGUGUUAUAUACAGGCAGGGGUGCUUUUAUGACCCAGCUGAAAAUGUGACCCUUCCUCUGUACCAUCAACCUCAAAACACACCCUUGAGAACCCAAUUACGGACCUUUUCAGCCUUGGAAUUAUACAAUCAACAACAGACAUACAAAUCAACACUAAAAUAACACAAUAAAAAUUAAUACAUAAAUACAAGUCCUGAAAAUGUAGACUGUUAGAGUAGGCAAAUAUAUUAAUUGGUAGAUUAUUUUAUGAGAGGUAAGGCAUGGUAGAGGUUGCAUGUGCUUGGUAAGGUUUUCAUAUAGUAUAGUAUGUUUCCCGGGCAUCUGAUGUGCUUGGUAAUGCUUUUUAACACAGUAGCAGCGACGGGCCAAAUUUGUGGCUUUACCGUGUAGCAGCGACGGGCCAAAUUUGUGGCUUUACCAUGUAGCGGCGACGGGCCAAAUUUGUGCCAUGAUAUAAACCCCCCAAAAUAGAUGAUACAUAAUCUGAUGACAAAUGCUUGGAUAUGUAUUAUGAAAUGGUUUGUGUGAGUGAUGAUUUUUUCUCAUUUUUCUCGCU
Molecule: long non-coding RNA, 4508 nt
Organism: Eriocheir sinensis (Chinese mitten crab)
Lineage: Eukaryota; Metazoa; Arthropoda; Malacostraca; Decapoda; Varunidae
Exons: 5
Source: RefSeq, a predicted model, not a curated record